CAGCCGCCACGGGAAUACGUAGGUGGCAAGCGUUGUCCGGAAUUAUUGGGCGUAAAGGGCUCGCAGGCGGUUUCUUAAGUCUGAUGUGAAAGCCCCCGGCUCAACCGGGGAGGGUCAUUGGAAACUGGGAAACUUGAGUGCAGAAGAGGAGAGUGGAAUUCCACGUGUAGCGGUGAAGUGCGUAGAGAUGUGGAGGAACACCAGUGGCGAAGGCGACUCUCUGGUCUGUAACUGACGCUGCGGAGCGAAAGCGUGGGGAGCGAACAGGAUUAGAUACCCCAGUAGUCCCUGUCUCUUAUAC
Molecule: ribosomal RNA, 301 nt
Filed under: uncultured bacterium
Lineage: Bacteria
Description: partial 16S ribosomal RNA
Rfam family: Bacterial small subunit ribosomal RNA
Source: RNAcentral